RNAcentral lists this unclassified non-coding RNA (368 nucleotides) under fungal sp. Its description in RNAcentral is "partial internal transcribed spacer region". The record is from RNAcentral. Lineage: Eukaryota; Fungi.
AAGUCGUAACAAGGUAGGGGAGUGCUCUAGGGUACCAGGGUGCUUUAUCUAGCGCUCAAUUGCAGCGUCCAGGUACACGCAGAACUUCCCAAAAUCAAAAUCUGUAAUUCUUUAGCGCCUGAUUUACUCGGGAUUGCUGUUUUGAUGUCCUGCAAGUUGUUUUAAUGUUUGGAUACGUGUUAAUGAUCUUCCGCAGGUUCAUGUCUGAAAGCGGCAGGGAUCAAUGUUCAGGGUGGCGCAGUCAACGAUCGACGACCGGCGACCGGGGUGGAGGCGAAAGCCCCUACGUCAUCCCUAUGUACCCUCCGGGACUUGGCGAAAGCUGACUCCAUCACGAACAACUGUUAACAAUGGAUAUCUUGGUUCUC